AGCCGACAGGGUCCGGGCACCGAAGUUGCCGGCGGCCGUGCGGCCUCCCAGGCAGGCCCACAGUCACGUGCGGGGACCCGGGGUCGGACGGCCGGGAGGGGGCCCCGCGCGCAGCUGCAGAGCUCUGCGGCCUGUGCUACCAGGUCGGGUAGCGGCUGCGGCGCCUGCAGGACCAGCUGGCCGCCCGCGACUCCCUCAUCGCGUGCCUCCACGCCAGGCUGGCCGCGCUGGAGGGGUACACUGCGCCGUCCCUGGUGGAUGCGCUGCUGGAGCAGGUGGCGCACUUCCGGGAGCAGCUGCAGCGGCAGGAGAACGGCGCCGCGGAGGCCCAGAUGCGCCAGGAAAUUGAGAGGCUUACUGAGCGACUAGAAGCGAAAGAGAGGGAGAUGCAGCAGCUGCUGAGCCAGCCACAGCACCAGCGAGAGAAGGAAGUCGUCCUGAUGCGGAGGAGCAUGGCGGAGGGCGAACCGGCCCACCCCGCCAGUGACGUUCUGUGCAGCUCCUUGGCCAAUGAGACCCACCAGCUGCGGAGGACGCUGACCUCCACUGCCCACAUGUGUCAGCAUCUGGCCAAGUGUCUGGAUGAACGACAGCAUGCACAAAGGAACGUGGGGGAGAGAAGUCCUGAAAGUCAGAACAUACAGGUAGGGACACCUCUGUCCAGAGUGUUACUGAGGAAGAAAAUCGACUGUUAAAACAGAAGGUGACUCACGUUGAAGACCUCUAUGCCAAGUGGCAGCUAUACGAUGUCAGCAGGGACGAAUACAUGAGGGGGCUCCAUGCACAGCUCAGGGGGCUGCAGACCCCCCCCCCCCCAUGAGCCCGAGCUGAUGAGGAAGGAGAUCUCCCGGCUCAACAGAUAGUUGGAAGAGAAAAUAAACGACUGUGCAGAAUUGACGUAGAAGCUGGCAGCCUCGAGGACGGCACGGGAUGCUGCACUGGAAUGGGUGCAGAUACUGGAAUAGCAGAUUCUCGCUUACAAGGAUGACUUCAUGUCAGAAAGGGCAGAUCGGGAACAGGCUCAAGGUAGGAUUCAGGAACUGGAGGAAAAGGUCACCUCUUUGCUGCACCAGGUGUCCUGGAGACAGGAUUCUCAAGAGCCAGACGCCGGCUGGAUUCACGCUGGGAGCAAAACUGCCAAGUACUUGGCCACCGAUGCAGUGGAGCUUAUCGUGCCUGGUGGCUGGAGGCCUGGGACUGGGUCCCAGGCGGUUGGAACCCCCUGCAGAGGGCGGGCAUCCUGGCGCAGCCCAGAGAGGCCAGGGGGAACUUCAGUGCCCUCACUGCCUGCAGUGCUUCAGUGACGAACAAGGUGAAGAGCUCCUCAGGCACGUGGCUGAGUGCUGCCAGUGACCAAGAUUCCACCCAUGCCCUUGCGGCCCCCUGGCCCGGCACAGCUGCCCUCAGGGACAGGGUGGGUGCUCUCAGAUGCCAUGGAUUAAGCUCUACUGAGAUCCAAGUCCCCUAGAAUAGGUGCGGGGCACUGUGAUCGUUCACUUUGGUCUCCCUUUGGCUAUGGAACAGGCUGGGUCACAGGGAACUCCCAGCGAGGCUAGAGGCUGGAGGUGGAGAUGGGGUCAGGAACAUCUGGCAGAGGGAGGUCCUAGUCUUGUGUCUCCAUCAGGCUGAAGCCAGAGCAAUCUGGGGCUGGUGUGCCAGCCCCUCCCCCAGCCUGCACCUGGGUAUGCCACAGCUUGCCAGAAAGGCGUGGCUGCCUAUGGGAGCCACUUGUAUGGUCCCCAGGGUGGAAGCCCCAUCCUGUUCUAUAGAAUAAGGUGUCUCCUCUCUGCCUUGAACCAGGAGGUUUGUCAAAUGGAGUAUUGUGGCUGCACAUCACACUAGGGGGCCCAUCCCCAUCAUUGCAGAGCCACAUGUCUGCACUGAAAAACUGCAUCACAAUAGCAUUUGUCAUAUAUCCAGAAGUUAAAGCACACUUAUUUUAUCCACCUAUUUUUAUAAUAAAUGUUCUUGCUACUGUGA
Homo sapiens (human) is the source of this 1980-nucleotide RNA transcript. It is a transcript of the gene named TNIP2 pseudogene 1, with no coding region annotated. The record is from RefSeq and is marked provisional. The transcript has a single exon. NCBI's taxonomy places the organism in Eukaryota, Metazoa, Chordata, Mammalia, Primates, Hominidae.